AUUGAACGCUGGCGGCAGGCCUAACACAUGCAAGUCGAGCGGAUGAAGGGGGCUUGCUCCUGGAUUCAGCGGCGGACGGGUGAGUAAUGCCUAGGAAUCUGCCUGGUAGUGGGGGAUAACGUCCGGAAACGGGCGCUAAUACCGCAUACGUCCUGAGGGAGAAAGUGGGGGAUCUUCGGACCUCACGCUAUCAGAUGAGCCUAGGUCGGAUUAGCUAGUUGGUGGGGUAAAGGCCUACCAAGGCGACGAUCCGUAACUGGUCUGAGAGGAUGAUCAGUCACACUGGAACUGAGACACGGUCCAGACUCCUACGGGAGGCAGCAGUGGGGAAUAUUGGACAAUGGGCGAAAGCCUGAUCCAGCCAUGCCGCGUGUGUGAAGAAGGUCUUCGGAUUGUAAAGCACUUUAAGUUGGGAGGAAGGGCAGUAAGUUAAUACCUUGCUGUUUUGACGGUACCAACAGAAUAAGCCCCGGCUAACUUCGUG
This 484-nucleotide ribosomal RNA is filed under the name uncultured bacterium. RNAcentral's name for it is "partial 16S ribosomal RNA". It matches the Rfam family "Bacterial small subunit ribosomal RNA", at positions 30 to 507 of the family's 1533-position model. The record is from RNAcentral.